RNAcentral lists this ribosomal RNA (253 nucleotides) under uncultured bacterium. Its description in RNAcentral is "partial 16S ribosomal RNA". It matches the Rfam family "Bacterial small subunit ribosomal RNA", at positions 524 to 776 of the family's 1533-position model. The record is from RNAcentral.
UACGGGGGGAGCAAGCGUUGUUCGGAUUUACUGGGCGUAAAGGGCGCGUAGGCGGCGUGACAAGUCACUUGUGAAAUCUCCGGGCUUAACUCGGAGCGGUCAAGUGAUACUGUCGUGCUAGAGUGCGGAAGGAGCUACUGGAAUUCUCGGUGUAGCGGUGAAAUGCGUAGAUAUCGAGAGGAACACCUGCGGCGAAGGCGGGUAGCUGGGCCGACACUGACGCUGAGGCGCGAAAGCUAGGGGAGCGAACGGG